RNAcentral lists this long non-coding RNA (1209 nucleotides) under Felis catus (domestic cat). RNAcentral's name for it is "lncRNA (ENSFCAG00000047700.1)". The record is from RNAcentral. Lineage: Eukaryota; Metazoa; Chordata; Mammalia; Carnivora; Felidae.
AAGCUAAUUUGAGAAUGCAAAUGUGCAUUUAAUUAAUAUGUUACUUGUGACCCUAUAUGACUCACAGGCAGCAUAGAGGCUGUGGUGAGCUGUGCGCUGUGGAAGGCACGAAGGCUGGGUGACGGGAAGCGGUGUGGCCCCUGUGGGCACGGAGGUCCAGGUGAGUGAGCCAGUGAGGGAGAAGUACAACAAGGUGUUCAGAAAUUGGAGAGAUAAGGGAUAAGAUCCAGAAGGAGAGAGGGAAGGCUGGGAAAUGUGUUACAGAAAAACAGAAGAAGACCAUCUUCCAUUUGGACGAUCAAGAAGGUCCUGUUCUGGAAGCAGCUAAAAAGGCCUCCAGAGAGUGUGGGGCUUCCUUUCAGGGAAGCCUGGAUGGUGAUAGGUCAUUGAGGGAUCAGACUUACCUUUGCUGAUAUUAUCUGUAGAUGGUUUAUGGUCUGAAGUUCCCUUGCUGAGUAGGAGAGGUUAGCCCUAGUAUCUGUGUGUUAAACUGCGGUGGCACAAGGUGGGAAAUCAGGGUAUUAUAUAAAGAAAAACCAUGGGAGGCUGAAGACAGGCUGCUGUCACUAUGGAUGUCCUGUCUGUAAGGGACAAGCCUCCCUCUUCCCUUCCCUCUUCCAUUGGGCAUACGAGUAGCCCAAUUCCAUGCCAUUACAGGGGUGAUUUCAUUUCACUCUGCUAAUAAGCGGCAAAGGGAGGAUUUGAACCUUGGAACUCUUCAGAGCCAGAGCCUAUAUUAUUAGGGCAGACCAUAUGAAAUGGUCUUUCUUCUACAUCUUUCGAAUUGAAUAUUGUUCAUUCCAUCUCAUGCUCUUUAGAGCCUCUGGGCGCUGAGAAGCUCCUAGAAGCAAACAGACCCAGUAAUCAAUCCCAGCUGCCGUGCGAGGUCCUGCCUCUUUUGUCACAUGUGAUGCCAACAGCAGGGAAGAAGUUUUUCAAGUGCAAAGGUGAUGAAUGUGUGAGAUUUUCCAACCCACGGGAGUUACCAGAAUGGAUUCCCUUCAGGUUCUGCCGGGGGUGGGGAGUCGGAGCAAGUGAGACAUAUUUCUACCGCUUCAAGCCUGCACGGUGCCUACAACAACGUUGCCGUUGUGGUGACGACUUAACCCUACUCGAGCGCUGAGAACCCUGGGAUCCGGGCAAGUUGGCAAAGCAGACGCAGGAGGACCUCCUGCUCCCUGCUUCAGGCUCCUGGUUUCCUGCACUUCG